AUUGAACGCUGGCGGCAUGCUUUACACAUGCAAGUCGAACGGUAACAGGCCUUCGGGUGCUGACGAGUGGCGAACGGGUGAGUAAUGCAUCGGAACGUGCCCAAUCGUGGGGGAUAACGUAGCGAAAGUUACGCUAAUACCGCAUAAGCCCUGAGGGGGAAAGCAGGGGAUCGCAAGACCUUGCGCGAAUGGAGCGGCCGAUGUCAGAUUAGCUAGUUGGUGGGGUAAAGGCCUACCAAGGCGACGAUCUGUAGCGGGUCUGAGAGGAUGAUCCGCCACACUGGGACUGAGACACGGCCCAGACUCCUACGGGAGGCAGCAGUGGGGAAUUUUGGACAAUGGGCGCAAGCCUGAUCCAGCCAUGCCGCGUGCGGGACGAAGGCCUCGGUUGUAACG
Molecule: ribosomal RNA, 396 nt
Filed under: uncultured bacterium
Lineage: Bacteria
Description: bacterial SSU rRNA
Rfam family: Bacterial small subunit ribosomal RNA
Source: RNAcentral